GAUGAACGCUGACAGAAUGCUUAACACAUGCAAGUCGACUUGAACUUCGGUUUGGGUGGCGGACGGGUGAGUAACGCGUAAAGAACUUGCCUCACAGAUAGGGACAACAUUUGGAAACGAAUGCUAAUACCUGAUAUUAUGAUUAUAUGGCAUCGUAUAAUUAUGAAAGCUAUAUGCGCUGUGAGAGAGCUUUGCGUCCCAUUAGCUAGUUGGAGAGGUAACGGCUCACCAAGGCGAUGAUGGGUAGCCGGCCUGAGAGGGUGAUCGGCCACAAGGGGACUGAGACACGGCCCGUACUCCUACGGGAGGCAGCGGUGGGGAAUAUUGGACAAUGGACCAAGAGUCUGAUCCAGCAAUUCUGUGUGCACGAUGAAGUUUUUCGGAAUGUAAAGUGCUUUCAGUUGAGAAGAAAAAAAUGACGGUACCAACAGAAGAAGUGACGGCUAAAUACGUG
RNAcentral lists this ribosomal RNA (454 nucleotides) under uncultured bacterium. RNAcentral's name for it is "partial 16S ribosomal RNA". It matches the Rfam family "Bacterial small subunit ribosomal RNA", at positions 28 to 507 of the family's 1533-position model. The record is from RNAcentral.